RNAcentral lists this ribosomal RNA (507 nucleotides) under uncultured bacterium. RNAcentral's name for it is "bacterial SSU rRNA". It matches the Rfam family "Bacterial small subunit ribosomal RNA", at positions 28 to 529 of the family's 1533-position model. The record is from RNAcentral.
GAUGAACGCUAGCGGCAGGCCUAACACAUGCAAGUCGAGGGGUAACAGGAGAGCUUGCUCUCGCUGACGACCGGCGCACGGGUGCGUAACGCGUAUACAAUUUACCUUAUACUGGAGGAUAGCCCGGAGAAAUCCGGAUUAAUACUCCAUAACAUUACAGAAUCGCAUGAUUCCAUAAUUAAAGUUUCGGCGGUAUAAGAUGAGUAUGCGUCCUAUUAGUUAGUUGGUAAGGUAACGGCUUACCAAGACAGCGAUAGGUAGGGGCCUGAGAGGGUUAUCCCCCACACUGGUACUUAGACACGGACCAGACUCCUACGGGAGGCAGCAGUGAGGAAUAUUGGACAAUGGAGGCAACUCUGAUCCAGCCAUGCCGCGUGAAGGAAGAAUGUCCUACGGAUUGUAAACUUCUUUUAUUUGGGAAGAAACUUCUCUACGUGUAGAGAACUGACGGUACCAAACGAAUAAGGACCGGCUAACUCCGUGCCAGCAGCCGCGGUUAAAGUCACA